UUUCUCCGCCGGCGACCGGCGCACGGGUGAGUAACACGUAUGCAACCUGCCCCUGUCAGGGGGACAACCCGCCGAAAGGCGGGCUAAACCCGCGUACAUGCCUCCGGGGCAUCCCGGAGGCAGGAAAGGCUUCGGCCGGACAGGGAUGGGCAUGCGGCGCAUUAGGCAGUAGGCGGGGUAACGGCCCACCUAACCGACGAUGCGUAGGGGUUCUGAGAGGAAGGUCCCCCACACUGGUACUGAGACACGGACCAGACUCCUACGGGAGGCAGCAG
This 275-nucleotide ribosomal RNA is filed under the name uncultured bacterium. RNAcentral's name for it is "partial 16S ribosomal RNA". It matches the Rfam family "Bacterial small subunit ribosomal RNA", at positions 80 to 354 of the family's 1533-position model. The record is from RNAcentral.